GGGAAUGUGGCUUAGUGGUAGAGUACUUGCUUCACAUGCAUGGAGCCCUGGGUUUGAUUCCUCACAUAACCA
Molecule: transfer RNA, 72 nt
Filed under: Dipodomys ordii (Ord's kangaroo rat)
Lineage: Eukaryota; Metazoa; Chordata; Mammalia; Rodentia; Heteromyidae
Rfam family: tRNA
About the family: Transfer RNA (tRNA) molecules are approximately 80 nucleotides in length. Their secondary structure includes four short double-helical elements and three loops (D, anti-codon, and T loops).
Source: Rfam by way of RNAcentral